GACUGUGAGAGCUAUCUGGUUGUGACCUGUCUCCCCACUGAUAGCCAGGGUCCAUUAAGUUGAACUGGCUGGCUAGACAGGUGUUCCUUUCCUCUCUCACAGCUUCAUGUGUGCUCCCCCCAAGUUGCACAAGUGUUUUAUGUAUGAGUAAAUGCACUCCCAUGCUAAAACCUCUAAAUAAGCUCUUAAGACACUUGCUCAAAUUGUCGCAGCUAAUCAGAAUCUUCAGUAUCUGAUUUCU
RNAcentral lists this small nuclear RNA (241 nucleotides) under Erinaceus europaeus (western European hedgehog). Its description in RNAcentral is "7SK RNA". It matches the Rfam family "7SK RNA". Rfam says of the family: 7SK was discovered as an abundant small nuclear RNA in the mid-70s but a possible function has only recently been suggested. Two independent studies have found that 7SK RNA binds the CDK9/cyclin T complex (known as elongation factor P-TEFb). Lineage: Eukaryota; Metazoa; Chordata; Mammalia; Eulipotyphla; Erinaceidae. The record is from Rfam by way of RNAcentral.